GCCUUCGCGAAUCAAAUGUCCUCAGUCCCUCACCACUCACCAACCCUAGCUUCUUCAAGAAUUCAGAACCCAAACCAAAAACCUAGCCUCUUCAACGGAUUCGACGCCGCCGCUCGUCGUUGUAGGCGCCUCUGCGGCCUCCUCCUCCCCCUGUUCCAAACCAAAUCCCUAGCUCGGCACGUCGUCGUCACGUCGUCUUCUAGCUUCGCUGUUCGAGGCUUCGAGUUCAAGAUGCUUGCCGUGGUGUCACCGUCGUUGUCUUGCUCUCAGUUGAAGUUAUUGAUUUGAAGGUUAGGGUGAUUAUUUGUUCUGAAACUGAGUCUGCUGUUUCACUGCCUGAUGGGAAAGUAAUUUCUCCCCAUCCUCCAUUGGAUUCGUCCUGCUCGUCUCCCUCUUGAUGCCAGGAAAAUCUCUUUAUACUACUGUUAGAGAGCUCGUGGAGAAUUCGCUUGACUCAGCGGAAUCGAUAUCGGAGCUUCUGGUAGUU
Arachis ipaensis is the source of this 487-nucleotide non-coding RNA. The record is from RefSeq and is a predicted model, not a curated record. Lineage: Eukaryota; Viridiplantae; Streptophyta; Magnoliopsida; Fabales; Fabaceae.